CCGACAACAUUCAUCUUUGUUAGAUUAUAUCUCUUUCUUUAAUUAAAACAAAUAGUUACUUAACAAAAAUUAUUAUGUAUUGUGUAUAAUAAACCACUAUGUGAAAAAAAAUAUAUUUCAAGAAUGGGCAAUAAACAGUUAUUAUUAGUAAAAUCGCUCCAUGUUUGAAACAAAUACAGGGAAAUUUUUAAAUGGAAAACUGUAUUAAUCUAUGAAUUGCUGUCCAUUAUGGGUUUUUUACGAUCGCUUGUUAUCAUUUACAUGCUCAUAUAUAUAAUGUUAUAUUUAGGUUUAGUUGGAACACUAGUUUAUAUACGUGGAGUUUUGCUCGCUCGCAAUAACUUACCAGAAGACUACACUGCUGAUUUAUAAGAAUGAUAAUAAAACAAUAGUUUUAAAAUACAUAUAUUUAUUAUAAAAGGCACAUACCUGGACGGAAUAGUGAAACUAAGUCUUUUACAAUAUAACAUGGAAUGUCUGACGUAAAUAGGUACAAGAAAAAUUUAACCAUUGUAAGAUAUAUACAAAAUUAAAAACAAAAUGUAUAUUUUACUGUUUAGUAUAAAUAUAGGUGAUAUUAUAACAACAAUAAUAUCAAGCAUCUUAAA
Pieris napi is the source of this 608-nucleotide long non-coding RNA. RefSeq lists it as uncharacterized. Lineage: Eukaryota; Metazoa; Arthropoda; Insecta; Lepidoptera; Pieridae. The record is from RefSeq and is a predicted model, not a curated record. The transcript is spliced from 2 exons.